Molecule: long non-coding RNA, 1206 nt
Filed under: Homo sapiens (human)
Lineage: Eukaryota; Metazoa; Chordata; Mammalia; Primates; Hominidae
Description: non-protein coding lnc-YIF1A-8:3
Source: RNAcentral
CUGGGCCACGGGGCGAUGGCGCGGGUAGGACGCAUCCCUCAGAGGCCAGGAGGAGCGCGAGAAGGUCCCAGGACCCCCUUGGGAGGCGCCGCUCCCGAGAAUGUAGAGCCUGGGAGAUACCACCGCACGGAAUGGGGGUGAUUAAGGCCUGGGCGGUACCACUAGAAGAGGGACGAGGGGAGGCCCGGGUAGUACCGUGGACUGAAGGGAGGCGCGCGGCCAAUAACUUAUUUCUCUAUAUACAGAAGCAACGGCCGGGUUGAGUCGGGAGGGAGGGCGAGGGUGCCGAAGGGCCGGCGAGUGCUUAGUGUUCUUGGCUCUGGGGUCUGGGGAGGCCAGGCCACUGAGUCUAUGGUGGAGACUCCAGCCGGCACCUCCUGCUGGCCCGAACCUAGGGAAGAGGGCCCUGCUGGAAGGAAUAAAUAAGGGAUGGAGCUGGAGUGGGCAGGCCCAGCCUCCAGGGCUCAGGCUGAGAUGACAAGGGAGAAGGUUACCCUGAGAUUGAACAGAAAAGACAGGGGCUGUGGGAGAGACAGGCGGGACAAGCAGCAGGCCCAUGCGCAGGGCUGGGGUGAGGGGGGUGUGCCAGGUGGGCGCUCUGGUGACUGGCUGCCCCUUCAGCAUUAGCCCACCAGGGAGCUUCGUCGGGAGAGGUCCAUGGAGCUGGAGCUGAGAGUGCGGCUGUCAGAGAGACCUGUGCCUCCAGGCUGUGGGCAGAGGGGGCAGGUGGCUCAGCCCUGUGCUGCUGCCAGUCUGUGCCUCCCUGGCCUGAAGGGGUCUGACCUGGCAGAGGCAGCCGGAAUCCCUGAGCUGGGCAGAGGCAAUGGCAGUUCUGACCCAAGGCCACACCCUGGUGCCCUGACACUCCCGUCCAUCUCCACAGUGACGGUGUUAGCACUGGCCGUUUACACGUCCACCCCCAGGAGAGGCUGGGUUCCCCUCGUGUCUCCCCGUUGUCCAGCCCAAAGUAGGCCUGAGACAGAGCCAGGAACUGUUGCUGGAUGAAGAGGCAUGCUGGAGGGAAGCUUGGCAGCACGCAUGCAGCCCCGGCCGCAGCUGCCCAGUGCCCAGACACCCGCCUGCCCCUACCUGGGUCGGCUCUUCCACGCUCUUGUUGAGGAAGUUGAGGGAACUGGCCCGCUUCAUCCUGAGGGAAAAGGACAGCCUGGGAUUUGCCCAAGGAGGAACUCACGGGAGAUGGGGGCA